GGAACUCUGACAGGUGCUGCAUGGCUGUCGUCAGCUCGUGUUGUGAGAUGUUGGGUUAAGUCCCGCAACGAGCGCAACCCNUAUCCUUAUUUGCCAGCACGUAAUGGCGGGAACUCUAANNAGACUGCCGGUGAUAAACCGGAGGAAGGUNGGGACGACGUCAAGUCAUCAUGGCCUUACGGGAUGGGCUACACACGUGCUACAAUGGCAGGUACAGAGGGCAGCGAGACCGCGAGGUGGAGCGAAUCCCAGAAAGCUUGUCGUAGUCCGNAUUGGAGUCUGCAACUCGACUCCAUGAAGUCGGAAUCGCUAGUAAUCGUAGAUCAGAAUGCU
RNAcentral lists this ribosomal RNA (333 nucleotides) under uncultured Gammaproteobacteria bacterium. RNAcentral's name for it is "bacterial SSU rRNA". It matches the Rfam family "Bacterial small subunit ribosomal RNA", at positions 1025 to 1358 of the family's 1533-position model. Lineage: Bacteria; Pseudomonadati; Pseudomonadota; Gammaproteobacteria. The record is from RNAcentral.